GAUAUUCAGCACACUACUGAAGUCACAUGCAGGGUGCUUGUCACUCAGUGUUCAGUACCUCUGGGAAGGUCUGAGACAAGAGCUGGUAACUCAAGUAGAUGAGUUACCAGCUAUGCUGGGCCCUGAGUGUGGGGCAAAUUGGGCAGGAGAAGCUAGAGGAGCCCCCCUAGUGGAUGCCCAGCCCCCUCCCAAGGGUUUGGGACAGACUCGUGGCUAGCAGCUCUGAGUUCAAUGGGAAGGCCAAAUAUUCAGAGUUUGUU
Molecule: RNase P RNA, 260 nt
Filed under: Gopherus evgoodei (Goodes thornscrub tortoise)
Lineage: Eukaryota; Metazoa; Chordata; Testudines; Testudinidae
Description: Nuclear RNase P (ENSGEVG00005006689.1)
Rfam family: Nuclear RNase P
About the family: Ribonuclease P (RNase P) is a ubiquitous endoribonuclease, found in archaea, bacteria and eukarya as well as chloroplasts and mitochondria. Its best characterised activity is the generation of mature 5'-ends of tRNAs by cleaving the 5'-leader elements of precursor-tRNAs. Cellular RNase Ps are ribonucleoproteins.
Source: RNAcentral